Long non-coding RNA from Betta splendens (Siamese fighting fish), 837 nucleotides. RefSeq lists it as uncharacterized. The record is from RefSeq and is a predicted model, not a curated record. Lineage: Eukaryota; Metazoa; Chordata; Actinopteri; Anabantiformes; Osphronemidae. The transcript has 3 exons.
CCUCCCACUGCGGACGAGAGAGGGAGGGAGGAUUAAAUCUCAACGCCGAAAGUUUUCAAUUGAGACAGAUAAUUCAUUGAGACGUCGAAGGCGUGAAUUUCUAAUCAAUGACAACCAAGAUAGAGCGGCAUCCAGCAUCCGAGGGUCGCCAUGACAACAGCACAUCCUGUUUCAUCACCAGUCGACGGACAAAGACAGCCUCAGUCGAAAGAACGCUAAUGGGAAACUGGGCCCAAGUUCGAGGCACUGUGGUUUGCUGCAGAGCUGCUGUUUUUCAUGUCCAGGCACAGUUUGGAGGGGCUGGAUUAUUGCCACUUCCUGGGCAUAACUGGCCUCCGAACCACCAACAAGCUCUGGCGUGGAAAAGGAGAGGAGGGUGGAUAAACAGAGGUGGAAGAUGAGGGGGGGGGGCAUUCUCUAACAUCAUUAAGGUGCAUCUGUUUUGUGUCCCUCAUGACGAACUCCCUUGUCUGGUGACAGAAGUGGGUCUUGGACACAUCCGGCUCAGAUUAAGCGUGACCUGCGAGGGUCAAGUAUGGCUUUAGACUAAUUCAGGUAGACACCAGCCUCCAAUUGGUGGGAAUCGUCUCUCACUGGGAACAAUUCCCAGUUUCACAGGUCAAAGGUCAACUAGAUAAUCCCCUUGAUAUUAAACACAGGGCCUUCUCACAGCCUUGGCAGCCGCCCCUCGUCUUUUCGCCUCGUCGCGCAUCGUCUCCAUGAAGGCAUCGUCACGGCCACAUUGAAUUUUACACAUAUUUAUGGUUUUCGUAAACAAACUAACUUGUUAGAGAGAACUGGCAGCUUCUACGAGCUCUGUGCUGCGUUUUAUGAUGU